GAUGAACGCUGGCGGCGUGCCUAAUACAUGCAAGUCGAACGCUGGAGGAGGAGCUUGCUCUUCUGGAUGAGUUGCGAACGGGUGAGUAACGCGUAGGUAACCUGCCUGGUUGCGGGGGAUAACUCUUGGAAACGCUAGCUAAUACAGCAUGACAACAGUUAUUGCAUGAUAAUUGUAUAAAAGGGGCAAUUGCUCCACUACCAGAUGGACCUGCGUUGUAUUAGCUAGUUGGUGAGGUAACGGCGCACCAAAGCGACGAUAAUUAACCGACCUGAGAGGGGGAACGGCCACACUGGGACUGAGACACGGCCCAGACUCCUACGGGAGGCAGCAGUAGGGAAUCUUCGGGAAUUGACGGAAGGCUGACCGAGCAACGCCGCGUGAGGGAAGAAGGUUUUCGGAUCGUAAAGCUCUGUUGUAAGAGAAGAACGAGUGGGAGAGUGGAAAGUUCACACUGUGACGGUAUCUAACCAGAAAGGGACGGCUAACUACGUG
This 495-nucleotide ribosomal RNA is filed under the name uncultured bacterium. RNAcentral describes it as "partial 16S ribosomal RNA". It matches the Rfam family "Bacterial small subunit ribosomal RNA", at positions 28 to 507 of the family's 1533-position model. The record is from RNAcentral.